GCCGACAUAGCUCAGCUGGUAGAGCAACUGACUUGUAAUCAGUAGGUCCCGAGUUCGACUCUUGGUGUCGGCA
RNAcentral lists this transfer RNA (73 nucleotides) under Oleispira antarctica RB-8. It matches the Rfam family "tRNA". Rfam says of the family: Transfer RNA (tRNA) molecules are approximately 80 nucleotides in length. Their secondary structure includes four short double-helical elements and three loops (D, anti-codon, and T loops). RNAcentral also lists the same sequence under 1 other name. The record is from Rfam by way of RNAcentral. Lineage: Bacteria; Pseudomonadati; Pseudomonadota; Gammaproteobacteria; Oceanospirillales; Oceanospirillaceae.